This 85-nucleotide transfer RNA is filed under the name Coriobacteriaceae bacterium. Its description in RNAcentral is "tRNA-Tyr". It matches the Rfam family "tRNA". From Rfam's summary of the family: Transfer RNA (tRNA) molecules are approximately 80 nucleotides in length. Their secondary structure includes four short double-helical elements and three loops (D, anti-codon, and T loops). Lineage: Bacteria; Bacillati; Actinomycetota; Coriobacteriia; Coriobacteriales; Coriobacteriaceae. RNAcentral also lists the same sequence under 3 other names. The record is from RNAcentral.
GGGCGUGUGCCGGAGCGGUUAAUCGGGACGGGCUGUAAACCCGUUGGCUUUGCCUACCAUGGUUCGAAUCCAUGCGCGCCCACCA